UCCUACGNGAGGCAGCAGUGGGGAAUAUUGCACAAUGGGCGAAAGCCUGAUGCAGCCGACGCCGCGUGAGGGAUGACGGCCUUCGGGUUGUAAACCUCUUUCAGUAGGGAAGAAGCGAAAGUGACGGUACCUGCAGAAGAAGCGCCGGCUAACUACGUGCCAGCAGCCGCGGUAAUACGUAGGGCGCAAGCGUUAUCCGGAAUUAUUGGGCGUAAAGAGCUCGUAGGCGGUUUGUCGCGUCUGCCGUGAAAGUCCGGGGCUCAACUCCGGAUCUGCGGUGGGUACGGGCAGACUAGAGUGAUGUAGGGGAGACUGGAAUUCCUGGUGUAGCGGUGAAAUGCGCAGAUAUCAGGAGGAACACCGAUGGCGAAGGCAGGUCUCUGGGCAUUAACUGACGCUGAGGAGCGAAAGCAUGGGGAGCGAACAGGAUUAGAUACCCUGGUAGUCCAUGCCGUAAACGUUGGCCACUAGGUGUGGGGGACAUUCCACGUUUUCCGCGCCGUAGCUAACGCAUUAAGUAACCCGCCUGGGGCGUACGGCCC
This 542-nucleotide ribosomal RNA is filed under the name uncultured bacterium. RNAcentral's name for it is "bacterial SSU rRNA". It matches the Rfam family "Bacterial small subunit ribosomal RNA", at positions 337 to 888 of the family's 1533-position model. The record is from RNAcentral.